This 147-nucleotide non-coding RNA is filed under the name unclassified sequences. Its description in RNAcentral is "IS605-orfB-II RNA". It matches the Rfam family "IS605-orfB-II RNA". The record is from Rfam by way of RNAcentral.
CAUGAUUAGCCGAGAGCUAGGAUUGUAUAGAGGGUAGUAGCAGUCGCCUCAACUCCGACUUGCAAAUAAAACAUUUUGUUUGUAAGUAAGGUGAGAAACAACGAUAAAGUUGGAAACUUUAAUUUUACUAAGAAAUUAAGGAACUGU